Molecule: ribosomal RNA, 253 nt
Filed under: uncultured bacterium
Lineage: Bacteria
Description: partial 16S ribosomal RNA
Rfam family: Bacterial small subunit ribosomal RNA
Source: RNAcentral
UACGUAGGUGGCAAGCGUUGUCCGGAUUUAUUGGGUUUAAAGGGUGCGUAGGCGGUCUAUUAAGUCAGUGGUGAAAUACUCCAGCUUAACUGGAGGGGUGCCAUUGAUACUGAUGGACUUGAGUCAAGUCGAGGUAGGCGGAAUUGACGGUGUAGCGGUGAAAUGCGCAGAUAUCAGGAGGAACACCGAUGGCGAAGGCAGGUCUCUGGGCCGAUACUGACGCUGAGGAGCGAAAGCGUGGGGAGCGAACAGG